This 409-nucleotide ribosomal RNA is filed under the name uncultured Glomus. RNAcentral describes it as "SSU rRNA". It matches the Rfam family "Eukaryotic small subunit ribosomal RNA", at positions 780 to 1187 of the family's 1831-position model. Lineage: Eukaryota; Fungi; Glomeromycota; Glomeromycetes; Glomerales; Glomeraceae. The record is from RNAcentral.
GCAGGCAAGCGCUUGAAUACAUUAGCAUGGAAUAAUGAAAUAGGACGUUUGAUCUUAUUUUGUUGGUUUCUAAGAUUGACGUAAUGAUUAAUAGGGAUAGUUGGGGGCAUUAGUAUUCAAUUGUCAGAGGUGAAAUUCUUGGAUUUAUUGAAGACUAACUACUGCGAAAGCAUUUGCCAAGGAUGUUUUCAUUAAUCAAGAACGAAAGUUAGGGGAUCGAAGACGAUCAGAUACCGUCGUAGUCUUAACCAUAAACUAUGCCGACUAGGGAUCGGAUGAUGUUAAUUUUUUAAUGACUCAUUCGGCACCUUACGGGAAACCAAAGUGUUUGGGUUCCGGGGGGAGUAUGGUCGCAAGGCUGAAACUUAAAGGAAUUGACGGAAGGGCACCACCAGGGGUGGAGCCUGCG